RNAcentral lists this long non-coding RNA (3876 nucleotides) under Marmota monax (woodchuck). Lineage: Eukaryota; Metazoa; Chordata; Mammalia; Rodentia; Sciuridae. The record is from RNAcentral.
GAACAAAAGGGUUCAGCUAUUUAUUUUUAAGGCAAAGACUGGGAACUUGGAGUGUGUGGCUGGCCUCAUCCUGGGUAAGUAAAGGGGUCAUCCAAGAGGCUUAUCAAGUGAUGUGGGGAAAGGUGGUUCUUUGUAAUAAGCCAUUUCCUGGAACACAGAAGGGUGUGUGAUUUCUGAGCCUCCUGCUGUUUUCCAGACACACAGGGUUCAGGUAAAGUUCCCUAUUAUCAUUGGACAAAGAAGGAACAGGAUUUUCCAUGGUAUAUCAUUUUUUACAUUUUGAAUUUUAUCUGUCCAAAAACAAAAAGUUGAACAAACCCCAAAUUUUAAAGUAAAUAAAUUUUAAAUAAAUAAAUGGAUAACCAUAAAUUCCAGAAAGCUCUUUUCUUACUGCAGAUUAGAGAUUUUUUCCAAAAUGGAUUUAGAUAUGGAAAGAUUUGAGCUAUAUUUGUUGAAACUUUGGUGAACGUGCUGAAAGGUAAGAGACUUUUCCAGUGUUUGAUAAGUUGGUCUGAGUUUCAGCCUUAGAGAUAUCAGGGAAGCCAUAAGAGUAAAGCCAGCAUUCCACACUGAGAAACAGCCCUGAUCUUUCCCUGGGUUUAAUUUCAUAGGCAGGCAUUGUAUCCAUUCUCAUGAAUGUGCUCAAUUUUCUAAUCUCCACUUCCUAUUCAGACUAGAAGAAUAAACCAUGAAACAGGAGACAAAGUGCAGCUCAAAUAUAUGCAAAUAGAGUAUCCUCUCCCUCUGCUCAAAGGGAUUUUGCUGAAGCAGGGCAACUCUGUCACACUAGUCCCUUGGGGUAAACAGGAGAUUUAGCAGAGUUGGAGAAUCUUUUCUCACGACUGGGGUCUGCUAUUUUUCUCAUAUAUUUUUGGCUUCAGCCAGAAGUCUACUUUUCCCAUUCCUUCAUCAGCUUGCCACUGCUCUAUCAGAUUUUGGCCAUGGCCUUUUGUUAUAUAGGUGCUUAGGCCACAUUUAUACACCAAAAGAUGCAGGCUUUAUCAGAACCUAUGUUGUGUAGAGAAUUUGUUCACUUGAUUUGCCUCUUUCUGAGUACCUGAAACUGGAUUUUUUUUUUAAUUUUUUAUUGUUGGCUGUUCAAAACAUUACAUAGUUCUUGAUAUAUCAUAUUUCACAAUUUGAUUCAAGUGGGUUAUGAGCUCCCAUUUUUACCCCAUAUACNAAUGUCUGAAACUGGAUUUUAAUCAUCAAAGUUCACCAGUUGACUUUUCUUAACAACAAUUGAAGGAGUUGCUUUUCUUUUCUUUUUUCCAUCUUAUUUAUUUAUUUAUAUAUGACAGUGGAAUACAUUACAAUUCUUAUUACACAUAUAGAGCACAAUUUUUUUAUAACUCUGGUUGUAUGCACAGUAUAUUCACACCAAUUCAUGUCUUCAUACCUGUACUUUGGAUAAUAAUGUCCAUCAUAUUCCACCAUCAUUUAUAACCCCCUGCCCCCUCCCUUCUCCUCCCCCUCUCUGCCCUAUCUAGAGUUCGUCUAUUCCUUCCAUGCACUGCUCCAUACCCCACUGUGAAUCAGCCUCCUUAUAUCAAAGAAAAUAUACACAAUGGAAUAUUACUCAGCAAUAAAAGAGAAUAAAAUCAUGGCAUUUGCAGGUAAAUGGAUGGAGUUAGACAAGAUAAUGCUAAGUGAAGUUAGCCAAUCCCAAAAAACCAAAGGAGUUGCUUUUCUAACAAUACAGUGACAACCGAAAAGUUAGUUCAAAAUGAUUAAAUCCACCCUCAUGAGAUGAAUGCUCACAGCUUUCUAAAUAGUUAACUUAAGCAAAUAGAGAUUAAGCAAGACAAGACUGGGGCUGGGGGUGUGGCUCAGUGGCAGUGUUUGCCUACUGUGUGCUAGGCCCUGUGUUCAAUCCCCAGGACUGGCAAAAAAAAAAAAAAAGACAAGGCUGGAGAUGGUUGUGCAUCUUCCAACUUCAAGUAGAAAUGGGAGAUUCUUUUUCUUGUUAUUUUAGAUAUAUGUGACAGUAGAGUGAAUUUUGACAUAUUAUACGUACAUGGAGUAUAUUUUAAGAUCUACUUAGGAUCCCAUUCUUGAAUGAAUAAAGAAAACCUGGAAAUGGGUGAUUCUUAAGCAGGAGGGCCUAAGAGAAACACAUAUCUUGGCAUACAAUGACCAUUAGAAUUUUCUUUGCAGAUCUCUAAUUGUAGGGAGCAUGAGUAAUCAAGGGAGAGCCCUAGCAUCUGAAAUCCAUCACAGAGCUUUUGCCAAGGCCAUGAUGAUGAUAGUAGGCUAGGAGCUUCAGGAGGCCAUUGCUGGGACACACAACUCUCCUCUAAGGGUGAACUCUGACUAUAAGACUUUCGGGCAGCUUUGCCAAAAUUUCCUUAGUCAGCAUAGCAGUCUGGGAUUCCUUACCAGCUGUACCCAGUUGUUUCCCCUAUUUUCUCCCAUAGCAUUCUUGUAGUAUAAUCCUUAUACCUAACACUAUCUUGGAGAAUGCAUGAUGGAAGACAUUAGGCUAAUCCAUGGCCCUAUCCAGGUCUUGCCUCUGUUGCUGGCCUGAUUGUGGAUCUUGGGUCCUUCUUGUCUCAUAUCCCAUACUAUUUUACAUCUUAUGCCAGCCUUAUUGGUAAAUUUCUUAUAGCCAGCUGCUUUAGCUGUCCCAAUUAUAAAUACAUCUUAGGCUUUUCUCUGUGAUUUAUGUUCAUAGAGUUCACGGUCCUUGUUGAUUUUAUUUUUAGGAUAUAAAUUCUGCUAGCCAUAAUUGUUACAGCACAGAUUUAAGAAAUUCCAGAAAGUUCCAUCCUUUAUUCUUUGGUACAAUGUGGAAAAAUGCUGGCUUCCAUACCUCUGCCAUACCUUUUUCAUGCACAAAAUAUCUUUUAUUCUGAAUUACAGAAAAUCAAAACUCUAAACAAGUACUAUUUUUUUCUUUUUUUAAUUUUUUUAUUCUAAUUUGUUAUAUAUGACAGCAGAAUGCAUUAUAUUUUAUAAUACACAUAUAGAGCACAAUUUUUUAUAUCUUUGGUUGUACACAAAGUAGAGUCACACCAUUUGUGUACAUGUACUUUGGAUAAUAAUGUCUGUCUCAUUCCACCAUCAUUUAUAACCCCAUGCUCCAUCCUUUCCCCUCCCACCCUUUUGCCCCAUCUAGAGUUCAUCUAAUCCUCCUGUGCUCCCCCUCCCUACCCGACUGUGAAUCAGCCUCCUUAUAUCAGAGAAAACAUUGAGCAUUUGGUUUUUUGGGGUUGGCUAACUUCACUUAGCAUUAUAUUCUCCAACUCCAUCCAUUUACCUGCAAAUGUCACGAUUUUAUUCUCUUUUAUUGCUGAGUAAUAUUCCAUUGUGUGUAUAUACCACUUUUUUUAUCCAUUCAUCUACUGAAGGGCAUCUAGGGUAGUUCCACAGUUUAGCUAUUAUGAAUUGUGCUGCUACAAACAUUGAUGUGGCUGUGUGUUGGGUGUGUGGGAAACCUUGCCUUUUGGUUUUAUUUCCCCCAUCGGGUUUCUCCCCACUGAAGUUAAGUUUCUGUCUCUCGAGAAGAACAUCACGUAAUCCCUUACCCCUCCCCCUUCUCUCCAAAGGGCACCAAGCCGAAGGAGCCAAAGUCAAAAGUUUUCUCGACCAAUCCCUGUGGGACACAAUGAUCAUUCGCCCAUUCCUGAAUCACUCUGCCAAUCAGCACCCACCACGUUGCCAAAGCAACCCUUCUUAAGCUGAAGCUUGCAGGCUCAUGCUGCUGCUGCUCUCUUCCUCUCUUUUCUUCAUCUUCAGGCAGCCCCUCCAAUAAAAUCUCUUGGUUGAAUUUCCGUCUCAGGUGAGUCACUCGCCUUUCACUGUGUCCCUAUAGUAUACUGUUUUUAAGUCCUUUGGGUAUAGACUGAGGAGAGGGAUAGCUGGGUCAAAUGGUGG